RNAcentral lists this ribosomal RNA (432 nucleotides) under uncultured bacterium. RNAcentral's name for it is "partial 16S ribosomal RNA". It matches the Rfam family "Bacterial small subunit ribosomal RNA", at positions 29 to 506 of the family's 1533-position model. The record is from RNAcentral.
AACGAACGCUGGCGGCAUGCCUAACACAUGCAAGUCGAACGAGACCUUCGGGUCUAGUGGCGCACGGGUGCGUAACGCGUGGGAACCUGCCCUUAGGUUCGGAAUAACUCCCCGAAAGGGGUGCUAAUACCGGAUAAUGUCUUCGGACCAAAGAUUUAUCGCCUUUGGAUGGGCCCGCGUUGGAUUAGCUAGUUGGUAGGGUAAAAGCCUACCAAGGCGACGAUCCAUAGCUGGUCUGAGAGGAUGAUCAGCCACAUUGGGACUGAGACACGGCCCAGACUCCUACGGGAGGCAGCAGUGGGGAAUAUUGGACAAUGGGCGAAAGCCUGAUCCAGCAAUGCCGCGUGAGUGAUGAAGGCCUUAGGGUUGUAAAGCUCUUUUACCCGGGAUGAUAAUGACAGUACCGGGAGAAUAAGCUCCGGCUAACUCCGU